AGUGAACGAUAACGGUAGGCCUAACACAUGCAAGUCGAACGGCAGCACAGUAAGAGCUUGCUCUUACGGGUGGCGAGUGGCGGACGGGUGAGGAAUACAUCGGAAUCUACUUUUUCGUGGGGGAUAACGUAGGGAAACUUACGCUAAUACCGCAUACGACCUACGGGUGAAAGCAGGGGAUCUUCGGACCUUGCGCGAUUGAAUGAGCCGAUGUCGGAUUAGCUAGUUGGCGGGGUAAAGGCCCACCAAGGCGACGAUCCGUAGCUGGUCUGAGAGGAUGAUCAGCCACACUGGAACUGAGACACGGUCCAGACUCCUACGGGAGGCAGCAGUGGGGAAUAUUGGACAAUGGGCGCAAGCCUGAUCCAGCCAUACCGCGUGGGUGAAGAAGGCCUUCGGGUUGUAAAGCCCUUUUGUUGGGAAAGAAAAGCAGCAGGUUAAUACCCCGCUGUUCUGACGGUACCCAAAGAAUAAGCACCGGCUAACUUCGUG
This 492-nucleotide ribosomal RNA is filed under the name uncultured bacterium. RNAcentral's name for it is "partial 16S ribosomal RNA". It matches the Rfam family "Bacterial small subunit ribosomal RNA", at positions 29 to 507 of the family's 1533-position model. The record is from RNAcentral.